RNAcentral lists this ribosomal RNA (300 nucleotides) under uncultured bacterium. RNAcentral describes it as "bacterial SSU rRNA". It matches the Rfam family "Bacterial small subunit ribosomal RNA", at positions 335 to 625 of the family's 1533-position model. The record is from RNAcentral.
ACUCCUACGGGAGGCGAGCAGUGGGAAUAUUGGCACAAUGGGCGCAAGGCCUGAUGCAGCCAUGCCGCGUGUGUGAAGAAGGCCUUCGGGUUGUAAAGCACUUUCAGUCGUGAGGAAGGUGGUGUAGUUAAUAGCUGCAUUAUUUGACGUUAGCGACAGAAGAAGCACCGGCUAACUCCGUGCCAGCAGCCGCGGUAAUACGGAGGGUGCGAGCGUUAAUCCGAAUUACUGGGCGUAAAGCGCAUGCAGGUGGUUUGUUAAGUCAGAUGUGAAAGCCCGGGGCUCAACCUCGGAAUUGCA